This is a non-coding RNA of Lamprotornis superbus, 73 nucleotides long. NCBI's taxonomy places the organism in Eukaryota, Metazoa, Chordata, Aves, Passeriformes, Sturnidae. The record is from the annotation of a GenBank genome assembly.
GGCAGUUAGCUCAGUUGGUCAGAGCAUGGUGCUGGUAACACCAAAGUGUUGGGUACAACUCCUGUAAGGGCCA